RNAcentral lists this ribosomal RNA (592 nucleotides) under uncultured fungus. RNAcentral describes it as "eukaryotic LSU rRNA". The stretch from base 216 to 369 matches the Rfam family "5.8S ribosomal RNA". The record is from RNAcentral. Lineage: Eukaryota; Fungi.
CUUGGUCAUUUAGAGGAAGUAAAAGUCGUAACAAGGUCUCCGUUGGUGAACCAGCGGAGGGAUCAUUACCGAGUUUUAUACUCCCAACCCUGUGAACAUACCAAUCGUUGCUUCGGCGGGCGACCCCGGGGGGGUCCCCAGGCGCUCUUGCGCGCCCGCCGACGGCGCCAAACUCAAGCUUCAGCGGACUUCUGAGUGAAAAACAAACAAGUAAAAACUUUCAACAACGGAUCUCUUGGCUCUGGCAUCGAUGAAGAACGCAGCGAAAUGCGAUGAGUAAUGUGAAUUGCAGAAUCCAGUGAAUCAUCGAAUCUUUGAACGCACAUUGCGCCCGCCAGUACUCUGGCGGGCAUGCCUGUCCGAGCGUCAUUUCAACCCUCGAGCAACCCCGCUCGGCGUUGGGGACCUACGGCGCACUGCCGUAGCCCCCUAAAACCACCGGCGACGCCGCCGCGGCUUCUUUGCGUAGUAACACAACCUCGCACUGGAACGCUGCCGUGCCUGCCGCUAAAACCGCCCUACGGCACUAUAAGGUUGACCUCGGAUCAGGUAGGAAUACCCGCUGAACUUAAGCAUAUCAAUAAGCGGAGGA